RNAcentral lists this ribosomal RNA (570 nucleotides) under Triticum aestivum (bread wheat). RNAcentral describes it as "partial small subunit ribosomal RNA". The record is from RNAcentral. Lineage: Eukaryota; Viridiplantae; Streptophyta; Magnoliopsida; Poales; Poaceae.
AUGGGGAGGUCACCGUCCUGCGGUAGUGAGGCCCCCGUCAAGAAGGGCCCGUGGACGGAGGAGGAGGACAGGCUGCUCGUGGACUACAUCAAGUUGCAUGGCACCGGCGGCAACUGGCGAACCAUCCCCAAGCGCGCUGGCCUCAACCGCUGCGGCAAGAGCUGCCGCCUCCGUUGGACCAACUACCUCCACCCCGACAUCAAGCGCGGACCCUUCACCGACGAUGAGGAGAAAACCACCAUCCACCUCCACUCCAUGCUCGGCAACAAGUAUGUAUAUUGUUCUCUGUUGCUUCUGUUGUACACUAUAUAUCUAUCUACUAUCUUCUUCUCCAACUCCGGUGCCAGCUACUCUGUUGCUGCUGAUGAUUUGAGCCUUAAACAGGUGGUCGGCGAUUGCAACCCAUCUGCCGGGAAGGACAGGCAAUUUUAUCAAGAAUUACUGGAACAUGAACCUGCGCAAGAAGCUACUCCACAUGGGCAUCGACCCCAUCACGCACAGCCCGCGCGCCGACCUCAGCCAGCUUACAGGGCUCCCCAGUCUCCCCGCCACCGCCGCCGCCCCCAGUAA